UCGAACGAGAACGGUCCUUCGGGAUGUCAGCUAAGUGGCGGACGGGUGAGUAAUGUAUAGUUAAUCUGCCCUUCAGAGGGGGAUAACUACUGGAAACGGUAGCUAAUACCCCAUAUACCUUCUGGCUUAAUGCUAGAAGGGAAAUGUCUUUUCGCUGAAGGAUGAGACUAUAUGGUAUCAGGUAGUUGGUGGGGUAAGAGCCCACCAAGCCUAUGACGCCUAGCUGGUCUGAGAGGAUGAUCAGCCACACUGGAACUGAGACACGGUCCAGACUCCUACGGGAGGCAGCAGUGGGGAAUAUUGCACAAUGGAGGAAACUCUGAUGCAGCAACGCCGCGUGGAGGAUGACACAUUUCGGUGCGUAAACUCCUUUUAUAUGGGAAGAUAAUGACGGUACCAUAUGAAUAAGCCCGGCUAACUCCGUGCCAGCAGCCGCGGUAAUACGGAGGGUGCAAGCGUUCUCGGAAUCCUGGCGUAAAGCGCGCGCGGCGGCUUAGUUGAUG
This 503-nucleotide ribosomal RNA is filed under the name uncultured prokaryote. RNAcentral's name for it is "bacterial SSU rRNA". It matches the Rfam family "Bacterial small subunit ribosomal RNA", at positions 62 to 589 of the family's 1533-position model. The record is from RNAcentral.